CCAAACACAAACACUAAACACUAAACAGACGUGUUUUCGAGAACCCCUCCCCUUUGGCUUCUUCUCCGACGAUUGCGCUUCUCGUGGAUUCCAUUCCGCUGCCGCCCUCCGGUCGAUGCGCCUCCGCCUUGCCGUCGCCACCCCUCGUCUCAACGCCGGAACCCUAGCCACCGCCGAAUCAAUCGAUCGUCGCCGUCCAGGUUUCCAUCUCUCGUCUCAACACCGAAACCCUAGCCGCCGCCGAUUCCUAUUGUUUUAGUGGGAAAACGCUGGAGUUGUCGAUUUCGAUUUUUCCUCGGAGUCGGGAGAAAUUCUGCCGCGACUUCUCGCACGCGCGUUUACACGACGGCUUGAUCUAGGGUCUUUAAAUUCGUCGGCAGGCAUCGGAGCUCUUCUCGUUCUUGGCUUCGGCGAAGCGGUUCUGGGUGACGGGGAGAGGGAAGAUUGUGCUAAGGAGAAGAACACCAAAAAGAAGUUGCGGUUGUCGAAGUUGGAUUAAGAUGCCGAUGCCCUGCCUGGUGCUAUUUUGAAGAAGACUCUAACUGUUUGUACUAUGGUUAAAUUCUUCAACAGGGUCUUUCUUUCUUCUACUAGGUUCAGAUCCCUACUAAAAAGUUUUAUAUUUUUGAGUUAUCAAGAUAUUUGCAAACUCCAAGGAAGAGGUACUCUAGCUCCUAGACAUGCUUGAUUGGAAAUAAGGGACCGGUGCAUUGAAAGCAGAAUAGCAGCUGUAACUUGUUCAUUAAUAUGUAUUUCUCUGUAUGUCAGCUAUUCUUUAACGGCUGCAACUGGUACUGAGUAUGAGGAAUAUCUAUGGGAUUUGCCUUCUGUCAAUACUACAAUUAGCCGGACUGAUGUGGAGUUCAUGUCAGCUGUUGUACAUAGUCUCUGUCCAAUUUCAAUAAAAAUGUGCAUUCGUCAAUGUCAAGUCCGAAUUUUGUUGCUUCUUUACUAUUUGGUCUGGCACUGAAAAAGCCAGAGAUGGUACAAUGAUGGCUUAACUAGCCAUUUCAAUUGUUGCAGGAUAUUGCAUGCUUUUGACAUUGGAUUGAAUUGAUCUUGGUUAGAGUUCCUUUACUGAUA
Molecule: long non-coding RNA, 1083 nt
Organism: Eucalyptus grandis
Lineage: Eukaryota; Viridiplantae; Streptophyta; Magnoliopsida; Myrtales; Myrtaceae
Exons: 3
Source: RefSeq, a predicted model, not a curated record